AUUGAACUGAAGAGUUUGAUCCUGGCUCAGAUUGAACGCUGGCGGCAUGCUUAAC
Molecule: ribosomal RNA, 55 nt
Filed under: Legionella pneumophila str. Leg01/53
Lineage: Bacteria; Pseudomonadati; Pseudomonadota; Gammaproteobacteria; Legionellales; Legionellaceae
Description: partial 16S ribosomal RNA
Source: RNAcentral